GAAUAUUGGACAAUGGGCGAAAGCCUGAUCCAGCCAUGCCGCGUGUGUGAAGAAGGUCUUCGGAUUGUAAAGCACUUUAAGUUGGGAGGAAGGGUUGUAGAUUAAUACUCUGCAAUUUUGACGUUACCGACAGAAUAAGCACCGGCCAACUUCGGGCCAGCCGCCGGGGUAAUACGAAGGGUGCAAGCGUUAAUCGGAAUUACUGGGCGUAAAAAGCUCCUUAAUAGUGUCUCAAGUUUACCGUCAAAACCCCGGUCUCCACCUGGUAACUACUUUCAAAACUUGCAAGCUAUAGUAUGGCAUAUGAUACUAUCAUUUCCUUUUUAUCUUUGACCUUCCUCCAUUUCCUCAAUCCCCUCUUUUUCCAAUUCCCCCCCCUGGCCUAAUACUGACACUGAGGUGCGAAAGCGUGGGGAGCAAACA
This 423-nucleotide ribosomal RNA is filed under the name uncultured bacterium. RNAcentral's name for it is "partial 16S ribosomal RNA". It matches the Rfam family "Bacterial small subunit ribosomal RNA", at positions 359 to 774 of the family's 1533-position model. The record is from RNAcentral.